RNA transcript from Passer domesticus (house sparrow), 3025 nucleotides. It is a transcript of the gene named ras GTPase-activating protein 4-like, with no coding region annotated. The record is from RefSeq and is a predicted model, not a curated record. Lineage: Eukaryota; Metazoa; Chordata; Aves; Passeriformes; Passeridae. The transcript is spliced from 17 exons.
CCGCACAUGGGCGCUGUGCUCGGGGCCGCGGGUUCGAGCCGCGCUCGGCGCGUUGGCCCCGCUCGGCCCCGCUCGGCCCCGCUCCCGCCCGCCAUGGCCCGGCGCAGCGCCCUCUCCAUCCGCAUCGUGGAGGGCAAGAACCUGCCCGCCAAGGACAUCACGGGGAGCAGUGACCCCUACUGCAUCGUGAAGAUCGACGAUGAGGCCAUCAUCAGGACUGCCACAGUGUGGAAGACGCUGUCCCCGUUCUGGGGGGAGGAAUACGAGGUGCAGCUGCAGCCUGGCUUCCACAGCAUCUCCAUCUACGUCAUGGACGAGGAUGCCCUCAGCCGUGACGACAUCAUUGGGAAGGUCUGCAUCACCCGGGACAUGCUGGCAGAGCACCCCAAGGGAUACAGUGGCUGGAUGAGCCUCAGCGAGGUGGACCCUGAUGAGGAGGUGCAGGGGGAGAUCCACCUGCGGGUGGAGGUCCUGGGCAGCCAGGGCAGCCGGCGGCUGCGCUGCUCCGUGCUGGAGGCCAGGGAUCUGGCCAGGAAGGACCGGAAUGGUGCCUCUGACCCCUUUGUCCGCCUGCGCUACAACGGGAAGACACAGGAGAGCACCGUGAGUGUGGUGGCUUCAGCAUGCCCAGCCUGCCGGGGUGCAGGGGGAAUCAACCCACGGGGAAGCCCAGAGCCACCCCUGUCCCCCAGCUUGGUGUCCCUGAGGGAUAGACCCACACAGCAAGAGGGGACAAAGCUGUGGCCUUUGCAGGUGGUCAAGAAAUCCUGCUACCCUCGCUGGAACGAGACCUUCGAGUUCGAGCUGGCCGAGCCCGCCGGGGAGAAGCUCUGCGUGGAGGUGUGGGACUGGGACCUGGUGGGCAGGAACGACUUCCUGGGCAAGGUGGUGUUCAGCGUCCAGGGGCUGGAGGUGGCCGGGCAGGAGGAGGGCUGGUUCAGGCUGUGCCCAGACAAGUCCAAGCCGACAGAGGACGAGCGCCGUGGCAGCCUGGGCUCGCUGCAGCUGCAGGUGAAGCUUCGGGAUGAGACAGUGCUUCCCUCCCACUGCUACCAGCCCCUGGUGCAGCUCCUGUGCCAGGAGGUGAAGUCGGGGCGCCAGGAUGGCCAAGUGCACCUGGUCACCCUCCUGGACGAAACCACCACGGCCGAGUGCCGGCAGGAGGUCGCCAUCAACUUGGUCAAACUCUUCCUGGGCCAGGGGCUGGUCAAGGAGUUCCUGGACCUGCUCUUUGAGCUGGAGCUGGCCAAGCCCUGUGAGCCCAACACUCUGUUCCGGAGCAACUCUCUGGCCUCGAAGUCGAUGGAGUCCUUCCUCAAGGUGCCACACCACCCAAAACCUGCUCUUCCCAGCUCAUCCUGGCCCUGGGCUGUUCCCAGGGGAAGAACUGGGUGGGCUGCUGUGCUUGUGCCUUCCCCUGGGGGUGGGAGGCUGGAGAAAAUCCACUGGGUGACCCUGGGGGUGUCGGUGCCAAAUCUGUGGCCCAUCCCUGUCCCCUGUGGGGUCCCUCGGCAGGUGACAGGGAUGCCAUACCUGCACUUUGUCCUGGGCCCCACCAUCGCCCGCGUGUUCGAGGAGAAGAAAUACGUGGAGCUGGACCCCGGCAAGGUGGAGAUCAAAGACGUCGGGUGCUCGGGGCUGCACCGGGUGCAGACGGAGGGCGAGGUGAUCGAGCAGGGCCGGCAGCACCUCCAGUCCUACCUGGGCGAGCUCCUGGACGCCAUCGUCAGGUCGGCCCCGGCGUGUCCCCCGCUGAUCCGCGCCGCGUUCCGCCAGCUCUUCCAGCGCGUCGGGCAGCGCUUCCCGCAGCACCAGGUGGGGAUGGCGCGGCGACAAACGGGGACAUCCCCCGGGGACAGCGCUCUCUGGGAGCGGUCCCCAGCUGUGGUCAUUCCCUCCUGGGCGAGCAGCAGCCCCGGCCCCCGGUGCAUCGCUGCUCGUGGGGCUGUCCCACGCUGGGAGAGACCCUCACGUGUGUUCCCCACGCCCUCGGUGGUCGCAGCACGCCAAAUUUGUGGCUGUCACCAGCUUCCUGUGCCUGCGCUUCUUCUCGCCGGCCGUGAUGACGCCCAAGCUGUUCCAGCUGCGGGCCACCCACGCGGACGCGCGGACCAGCCGCACGCUGCUGCUGCUGGCCAAGGCCAUCCAGCUGGUCGGGAACAUGGAGCCGGCGGCCGGGCGAGCCAAGGAGCCGUGGCUGUCGCCGCUGCUGCCCGCCCUGCAGGAGGGCACCGCCCGCAUGCGGGACUUCAUCACCCGCCUGGUGGGCACGGAGGAGGAGCGGGGCGAGCAGGAGGGCGAGGGGCGGCCGCUGGGGCCCUGCCCGGCCGCCGUGAAGGAGGGGCUGCUCCUCGUGCACAAAACGCGGGGCAAGGGGCCGCUGCUCGCUGCUGCCGCCGGCAAGAAGCUCCAUUUCUGCCUCACCGGGGAGUCGCUGAGCUUCGCCAAGAGCCCCGGGGCGGAGCGCAUCGGUGCCAUCGCCCUGGGCGACAUCCUGGCGGCCGAGAAGGUGGAGGAGAAGAGCUUCGGCAGCUCCCACGUCAUGCAGUGUGUCAACGAGCUGAACCAGUGGCUGUCAGCCCUGCGCAAGGUGUGCGGCAACAACCCGCGGCUGCUCCGCUCCUACCACCCCGGCGUCUUCCGCGGGGACAAGUGGAGCUGCUGCCACCAGCGCGACAGGACAGGGCUGGGCUGCGACCGGACCCGGCACGGCGUCACCCUGCAGGACUGGAGUGACCCGCUGGAGCCCACGGUGGAGGCGCAGCGCCUCUUCCAGCACCUGCAGGGCCUGCGGGACACCCUGAGGGACAAGUACUGGGAGCUGCUGGAGCCGGAGCGCGCCCGGAGCGGCCAAGGCGCUGCCGUGCCCGAGGCGCUGAGCCGGCUGCUGGCGGCGCUGGCGGAGCUGGAGCGCUGCCACCGGCGGGCGCAGCCCCCUCAGGCCGCGGGCCCGGCGCUGCUGCGGCUGCAGGCCUGAGGGACGCGCUCCUCCCGGCGCGGCCGGCAAUAAAGGCGCUUUGUACCC